Molecule: long non-coding RNA, 566 nt
Filed under: Musa acuminata (dwarf banana)
Lineage: Eukaryota; Viridiplantae; Streptophyta; Magnoliopsida; Zingiberales; Musaceae
Description: long non-coding RNA (MACU_LNC008253)
Source: RNAcentral
UAGAGCCUGCGAUGCUCUGCCGGCCCCCUUUGACUUCACCUAGACGUGGGUGGAUGGAGCUCCCAGACGUGGGAGACUUUUGUCAGGUGGUCAUUCAGAAAUGGAUGAAUCACAUUCUGACUGAGAUCCCACUACACCCUCUAUAUGUUUGAUAUGACAUCCAGAGUUUUGGUGAGUUAUUUCUGUUCAUGCUCUGGAUAAGUAUGAUAUGAUUGCAACGUCAAGGACGACGUUUGAGCUUCUGUACGGUAUUUGUGUUUGAUAUGCUCUGAAAUGCUUCAUUCACUGUUGAUUUUGCUUCGUAAUGUUCCAUAUGCCGUUGAUAUGCUUCGGAACAUUUCAUAUGUCAUUGAUAAGCUCCUACAUGUUUCCUUGUUACUGAUAUGCUCCAAUUACUCUAUGCCCCAUCUGUCAGGAACCAAAUAUGUAUGAUUAAAAGGACAAUUGUGAUUCUGCUCCUAAUGAUAUUAUGUCUACGAAAUCGUAUAUUCUGCUUUGUGUUUUGAAACUGUAUCUCUUUGGAAAUUGUACUAUUUUGAUAUGGAUAUGUUAGUCACUUGCUGAGC